CACGAUCAGCUUGUCCUUUUUCUCUUCCAGUUCUGGUUUCUCCUUGGUGGCCACGAUGCCGAGGAGUUGAUCUUGGAGACCCAGGGGUGUGAUCAUGAAGUUGAGGAGGCAGACUUUCACAGCAACUUCAGGGAGCUUGACCCUGAGGAUCAAUCAUUAAGGCCCAGCGUCUGGAAUUGGACACAAUGAUGCCAUUGUCAAUGGAGAAGGAGUCAAUGGGCAGCCCAGCAAUCUGCCAAGCAUGGAUUUUUAUGGGAUCCCCUAAUGUGUUGCUGAGACUGAAGUCACUGGAGCCAGGGAUGACCUUGUUCUUACAUUGGGCCAACCACUGCUUUUGGCACCGAGACCGGUAAUCUACUGUAAAAGCCCCCAAGCAAGGGUCCUGACUAAGCUCAGCCUCACCAACAGAUGCCUGCAUAUUCCUGACUGACUAGGAGGAGAGAGGAGAGUGAAGAAACAGAAGAGAACUCUUUGGAUGAACAUGCACAUCUGGCACCUUUCUUUUUCCUCCAAGACUCCAUGGCACUGCCUGUGGGCCUGGGGCAGGGUAGGUGGGGACAAUGGCACCCUUGUUGCCAGACUGUGAAGGCCUCUGGGUGGAGUGAGGUGCAG
Molecule: long non-coding RNA, 612 nt
Organism: Manis pentadactyla (Chinese pangolin)
Lineage: Eukaryota; Metazoa; Chordata; Mammalia; Pholidota; Manidae
Exons: 3
Source: RefSeq, a predicted model, not a curated record